This is a non-coding RNA of Oncorhynchus mykiss (rainbow trout), 2238 nucleotides long. The record is from RefSeq and is a predicted model, not a curated record. Lineage: Eukaryota; Metazoa; Chordata; Actinopteri; Salmoniformes; Salmonidae.
AAGUCUUUGCUUUUCCCUAUUUUAACUCAUCAUUGAAGACGCUGUUUUGUUUUUCGGAGAUUCAUCAUGGCGAUGCAUACGAAGGCGACACCGCCACAGAUUCCCGACACACGUCGGGAACUCUCGGAACUGGUCAAGAGGAAACAAGAACUUGCGGAGACAUUGGUGAACUUGGAAAGACAGAUCUAUGCAUUUGAGGGCAGCUACUUGGAAGACACCCAGAUGUAUGGGAAUAUCAUUAGAGGAUGGGACAGAUACCUCACCAACCAAAAAAAUUCCAACAGCAAGACAGACCGAAGAAACAGAAAGUUCAAGGAGGCAGAGCGUCUGUUCAGCAAGUCUUCAGUCACUUCUGUAGCAGCUGUCUGUGCACUUGGCGGGAUACCAGAUCACAUGAAUGAAAAGCGUGAGCCCGGCAGUGGGACAGAGAGCGACACAUCCCCAGACCUCCAGAACCAGGAGAACGAGCCAAGUCAGGAGGACACUGAGGACGCAGACGAGGCACUGCAGGACCUCAAACCCCAGAAGGCUGCCUCGUCCUCCUCCGGAAGCCACCAUGGGAGCCACAAGAAAAGGAAGAACAAAAACAGACACAGCCCUUCUGCCAUGUUUCAUUAUGACUUUGAGUCCUGUUCCCUUAAUCCAGUUAUGAAAAAGUCUGCUCUUCCUGCCAAAAUGAGAUGGGGAGCUCACAGGUUGAGUAAAAACCCAUAUCUUUCAGCACAUCCCAGGCUUUCACAUGGUUCUUUUAGUUGUCUCCUUGUGUGUUGCUUGGUCUCUUAGCUUGAGUAACUGUAGUGGUGCUUGUUGUCUCCAUGGUUACUCGUGUUGUAUUUAGUGAAACCUGAAAGACCUGUCGUAACUCUAGCUUUUUUUUUGUUUGUUUUUAGAUUCGACAUGAAGGUGAACAAAAAACCCAGAGCGGACUAUUCAACUUGAUGAACGGGGGUGUUAAGCACUUCAGACCAGAACUGGCCACACAGGAGACGUCUUCAGUGAAGCAGAGAAUCACUUCUCUGGGCUUUGUGAACUUUAUAUGCCUUAUGUUAACUGACUUGGUUUCUGCUUUGUGUAUAUUGUAUGAAAUGUUGCCCCUCCCCACCGGCAACUAGAAAUAUUUGUGCUCCAUGAUUUUCCUGCAGAAAAGUACACGGUGUGUAAUUGCAUGUUACUCAAUACCCAGCUGGGAUUAUUGUAUAGUGUUGAACGUUCUAUAUUUAUCAUGUAACUUCACAUUUUCCUCUGCUCUUCUUGUGACAAAAAUAAGAAGAUUAUAUUUGUCGUUGUCUGGUCGUUUGUUAGCUCUAGAGUAUCCCAGCUUCUGUUUUUUUUUUUACAUUUUAUUUUGAGUUUUGUUUAGCAUAGCUAUGUAAUAAAACAUUGAAAUGAUAAAUAUUACUAUGUAUAGUUUAUGGUAAAAAUCUAAAUUUGUGAAGGUCUUAGCCCACCAGAAGCAUUGAAAAUGUCUUGCUGUUAAUCAAAAUCUCAUCUCUGUCUUUACUCUGCACUCUUCAGUGAUGAUAUAGCAGGGAAAUCAAUAGGGAAGCUAGUUUAUGACCAACAGACCAACAUCUGUGUCUGACGGCAUCUACUGUCUGGUUUCAUUGUGGCUUCUUCAUGGCCCUGUUACCUGCCAAGGUGCUCAGACGAGGCUCUCUCUCUAGUCCACCAUCUUAUUAUUAGAGUUUCAAAUAGCUCCCUAUUCCAUUUAUACUACACUACGUUUGAUUGGUGAAGUUUCAGUGAGUUCAUGGAAAUUGUUUUAGUACUGUGUUCACCUUCAAACGGCUUUAUUCUGGCUCCCAAGUAUGAUUAAAAUAACUCUGUUUACACACAAAGAUAUGACGUCAUGUCAUUCCUACGGUGGCCGUUUCAGAGAUUUGAGUUUGAUUUCUGAGCAGUGGCAGUUUGAAGUGAACCAGGGGGCAACAAGCUGACAACACAUGACCCAUGCCAUGUUGGGGAACAGUGUACUAUAUACAGUUUAACUAGUAAUUGAACUACAUUUUACAGUAGGUUGGUUGGUACUUGAACGAAAUUCAAAUAUUGGUACUGUUUUCAGUAGGUAACUUUUUGUUGUUGUUGUGUAGCUAACUACUGGAACUACACACGUUUGCAAAAGGAAAAUAAAAUGUGGCUGAAGUAGGUAAUCGUUUAUUUUUCGGCAUCAUACCUGCCUAAUUCUCACUUGAAACAUUGUAGUGUGUAUAAUAGGCUAAAUUACACCUUUUAACAUUU